Molecule: long non-coding RNA, 466 nt
Organism: Gallus gallus (chicken)
Lineage: Eukaryota; Metazoa; Chordata; Aves; Galliformes; Phasianidae
Source: Ensembl
CACCUGUUGUGAUUGCAGGUACUGUCACUCAGUGCUGAUCACUGAGCAACUUCACCUGCAGUGGAUAGCAGCUGAGCUGUUUUCUUUUGGGAGCCUGCAGGGAAACUAUGAGACCUGCAGAAAAAGCCUCACCAAAACUGACACCUUCCUGAAAAACCUCUGACUAGUGAAGCAGCCUGUUUCCUGUAUGAUAAAUGAAUAGUAUGUCCUAACCAGCCCUAAUGCGCAGGAUAUGGGUGUAACUUUGAGGGAUGUCCCUAGUCAAGGGGAGAUCCUGUCAUGCAGCCUGCUGUUGUAUACAAGGUACAGAUGAAAAGAUCUUCCUUACUGCAUUCCUGUUGGAGCUUAAAGCCUUUGCAAUGGUUUAUUGAUGAACUACUAUUUUGAAAAUCAAGACUGCUGAGGCUUAAGAUUGUAGUGACAAUUACAUGGUGUUUUGUUGCUAAGUUAACAAUUUGCAUGGGAC